RNAcentral lists this microRNA precursor (128 nucleotides) under Myotis lucifugus (little brown bat). RNAcentral describes it as "mir-9193 microRNA precursor family". It matches the Rfam family "mir-9193 microRNA precursor family". Lineage: Eukaryota; Metazoa; Chordata; Mammalia; Chiroptera; Vespertilionidae. The record is from Rfam by way of RNAcentral.
CGUGCACCGGUGGGGUCCCUCGGCCUGGCCUGUGCCCUCUUGCAAUCCAAAACCCCUCAGGGGAUGUUGGAGAGCAGGUUUCAGCCGGAUUCCCUGCAGGCCAGGCUGAGGGACCCCACCAGUGCACA